CCUACGGGAGGCAGCAGUAGGGAAUCUUCGGCAAUGGACGGAAGUCUGACCGAGCAACGCCGCGUGAGUGAAGAAGGUUUUCGGAUCGUAAAGCUCUGUUGUAAGAGAAGAACGAGUGUGAGAGUGGAAAGUUCACACUGUGACGGUAUCUUACCAGAAAGGGACGGCUAACUACGUGCCAGCAGCCGCGGUAAUACGUAGGUCCCGAGCGUUGUCCGGAUUUAUUGGGCGUAAAGCGAGCGCAGGCGGUUAGAUAAGUCUGAAGUUAAAGGCUGUGGCUUAACCAUAGUACGCUUUGGAAACUGUUUAACUUGAGUGCAAGAGGGGAGAGUGGAAUUCCAUGUGUAGCGGUGAAAUGCGUAGAUAUAUGGAGGAACACCGGUGGCGAAAGCGGCUCUCUGGCUUGUAACUGACGCUGAGGCUCGAAAGCGUGGGGAGCAAACAGGAUUAGAUACCCUGGUAGUCCACGCCGUAAACGAUGAGUGCUAGGUGUUAGACCCUUUCCGGGGUUUAGUGCCGCAGCUAACGCAUUAAGCACUCCGCCUGGGGAGUACGACCGCAAGGUUGAAACUCAAAGGAAUUGACGG
RNAcentral lists this ribosomal RNA (587 nucleotides) under uncultured bacterium. RNAcentral describes it as "bacterial SSU rRNA". It matches the Rfam family "Bacterial small subunit ribosomal RNA", at positions 338 to 916 of the family's 1533-position model. The record is from RNAcentral.